AGGACGAACGCUGGCGGCGUGCUUAACACAUGCAAGUCGAACGGUAAGGCCCCUUCGGGGGUACACGAGUGGCGAACGGGUGAGUAACACGUGGGUAAUCUGCCCUGCACUUCGGGAUAAGCCUGGGAAACUGGGUCUAAUACCGGAUAUGAACUCCUGCCGCAUGGUGGGGGUUGGAAAGUUUUUCGGUGCAGGAUGAGCCCGCGGCCUAUCAGCUUGUUGGUGGGUAAUGGCCUACCAAGGCGACGACGGGUAGCCGGACCUGAGAGGGGUGAACGCCGACAC
RNAcentral lists this ribosomal RNA (285 nucleotides) under uncultured soil bacterium. RNAcentral's name for it is "partial 16S ribosomal RNA". It matches the Rfam family "Bacterial small subunit ribosomal RNA", at positions 26 to 313 of the family's 1533-position model. The record is from RNAcentral.